UCGGGGAUUUGGAGGAGAAGCCGCCGCCCGACUUGUCAAGACGCCGCCGCCUGACUCGUCCUCCUCAAGACGCCACGACCCGACGCCUCGACGCCGGCGUACUCCUCCGGUAUACCCCAGCGGUAAGUCAUCGUCUCCCCUCGCCUCACCUCCUACCUUUCCCCUCCUCAGCUAAUUUCUUCCAUCCGCCCGGCCAUGGCUACAGCCUCGUCCUCCCCGGCGAGCUCGCCAAGCACGCCGUCUCCGAGGGCUCCAAGGCCGUCACCAAGUUCUCCUCUUAGACUGCACUGCAUGUAUCUAGUUGCAAAUUUGGUUGUUCACUCUGGUUGUCGCCAAGUAGUAGUCGUGUUAGUGCUGGAUGGGAUUUGUGCUUAUUAGUAGUGCUGCUUUUGGCAAGCAGAGAUUUAGAAUGGUAAUGUUGCAGUAGUGGUACUUUCAUGAGUGAUGAUCUGAAUGUUGUUUGCUUUUCUGCUCUUAUGAACCGAACUGUGCCGUGUACUGGCCAUUUUUAUUAGUGUUAGGUUUCAGGCCUCUCAAACUUCUUGGAUUGGUUUCAAUAGUUGAGAAGACAGUGUCCAACAAUCCUUCUAUGGCGCUGCGGAACUCCUGUUACAUUUUCUUUCAAAAAGGAUCAAAACUGACAUAAUAUUUUCAUUUAGAAAGGAUCAAAGCUGACCCCCGUGCACCCUAUUUCAGUAUCCACAUGUCAUAUGUUUUCUAAUGUUUAUUCAGCAAAUAAAAAUUUAAACAAACUGAAUCUGUGUACUAAUUUAAUCUGGGCAGCAAGAUAUGUACAGAUCAUUUUAGAAACAAUUGAUGAAUUUUAGAAACUUCUGGUUUUGGCACCUUUUUGGAAUUUUAUCUAUGGAUAAUUAGGAAUAAGCAAUAGUUGUGUCUUUUGCAUAAGAACUUGAUUAAUUAAGAAUAGUCACCAGUUUUCACAUACAGACUGUUUUUGUGAUAUAUCAAUUGCAUUAUUCAAGCAUAGAUACUCUAUGAACAUCGAGCCUUGAACGUGCAUGGUAUGUGUAUAUUGGCUUUAAUAAGAUGGCCACUAUACCCUUAUUUAUUUACCCUUGGAAUAGAAUUUUAAAGAUGGUCCUCAAAAAAAGAUGCUUCAAGUUCCCUUAUCACCCAUCCUCUACCAUUAGUUGAGACCAGUUUGAAACAUUUUCAUUUCCAUUCCUUUCUAGCUGAUCUAUAAUAUAGUAAUGAUCUGGUGCAUCUCUUGGGAAACCAUGGUUCUGAACCUAGUUACUAAUUUGAUGCAUGGCCCAACUGUUAUGUGAUUGUAAUUGAUAUUAUCUAGGAAUAUUUGUCACCAUACGCUUUUCUUUUGGAAAAUUAGAGAGAUGUAAUCUUCCAACUGCUUAAUAUCAUGUGGCAAUUGGCUGGCUGCAUCCAAUUUCUUCACAGCUGCAGCAAUUGGCAAUUGGCUCGGUUGGUCCAUUUGAAUGUGGCAAUUGACUGGUGGCGGCGUUGUUAUGUCUAUUUGCUAGCUGUUGGCGUUGAGCUAGCAGAUUAUGUAUGGUUAACCCAUCCAUCCUGAUUGGAUCAGGUCCUGUUUUCUUGUUCAAAUGAUGUGAGGUGCAUGAAUGGUUUAAAUUUAAAGAUGUUAUGAGCUGCAUGGAUGGACUUUUGGGCACAGGGUCACAGGAACAUGCAGUAUACUUAAUACAUGCUAGUUUAGUAUUGUACUGAACUAGCUAGCUUCCUGAAUUUUCCAUAUAGUUUUCUUUCAUAUAGUUUUCCAGUCAAAUGUUUACUGUAGGUAUUUGAAGUUCUUGACCUGAUGCUAUUCUUGGACUCAACUAAUAUUUUUUCUUAUGACUUGAUGUUCUUUGGUCCGUCGUCGAAACAGUAGUUGUUGCUCGAUGCUCUGUUCACCAUAUACUUAAUAGCAUGGAAAAAAUGCAAUGUUGUAUCAUCCUCCUGUUUUACACGAUUUACAUGGAUGUGUCGUGGUUGACAAGGUUUAAUUCACGAUUUUUACACGUUUGCUUUUCUUAAUAUAUAUGGUUUAUUCACGAUUUCAUGGUUUUUUGUUUCAUCUAUUUUAGGUGCGCCGUGGUUGCUAAGUGAUGAAGGGAGGGCCUGUUUUGCUGUGUUCUGGUGGUUUAGAGGACAUUUUAUUUUUGUCAGUAGUGUGUUAUCAACGACAGUUAUCCUAUGUUUGAUUCAUCAUAAUUAUGUAAUACUCGCAUUCUGCUCUAAUUUCAAUUUGAUAGCCAGAUGCCUACCAACAAAAUGUUUUGUAGCAAGUUUUUCUUACUAUGGGGUUUGAUAACUUAUAAAGAUUGGAUUUUUAAUUGUUUUGCACCAUGUCAUCUCUAUAUUCCAAAC
This 2343-nucleotide long non-coding RNA is filed under the name Triticum aestivum (bread wheat). RNAcentral's name for it is "long non-coding RNA (TAES_LNC027005)". The record is from RNAcentral. Lineage: Eukaryota; Viridiplantae; Streptophyta; Magnoliopsida; Poales; Poaceae.